AGAUGUCUCAUUGACCAUCUGGGAGAGGAUCCAAGUGCCUUAAUCAAAACCUUUGAGGACGGUGCUGAUGCUGUCUUUGUUGAAGAGGCUUUGGCUGAGGAGGUGAUGAAGAUUUACCUGCUGCAGAAUCAAGACAGGUCAGGCGAACCUACUGAUGUGGGUAUUGUUAUUGAAGGCGUUACUGUUCUGGGCAAACUUGGGAAUCUGAGCAAAGCCUGUUGCUAUCUUUUGGGACUGUGCUAUGCUCUGGAUCUGAAAUACCCCAAGAAUUUCAAAUGCACAUUUGAAGCAUUUCAAAAAGUGUUCAUGGAGCUGGAUCCAGGAAACCUUUCUGUCAAGGUUCAAAGACUGAAAAAUGACCUCUGUUCAUUGUAGACAAAAUUUCACAGGGCUGUUCUUAAAGUGCUAGACUUGUUAAGUGACAUGUAAUGCUCAUCAAAAGGUUCAGUUGCGGCAUUACAUUGUGUUGACAUUCCUGUUCAUAAAUAAUGUUUUUACCAUAAACUGUGUUUUUGUAUUAACUUUCCAGAUUCACAUUAAGGUGUAAAUGGGAGAGUAUCAUUAUGAAUGUUUUUUGGUCACUCUUUAGUUAUAAUCUUCCCAAUUUUUUGGAAUCAAAAUAAGAUGUUCAAAAACUAUGUCACAGUGCAAAUGUGUUUUUGUUUUUUUUUUCAGGAUUUAUAUUUUUUUGGGAUCUUAAUUUUAUUUUUGUCAUUUGACCUUUUCUGAAAAGGUAAAGCACUGCGUUCACUUGAGCCACUUUUAUUCUUUGUAUGGCAGGUACAUUUUUCUUGUUGUUAGCAUCAAUAUGCCAGUUUUACAGAGUUUUAUCAAGCAUGCCAAUUUGGAUGCAAUUUUAUUAUAUAAGGCUGUUGUGACUGAAAUUUUAUCCAAGUUUUAUCCACUGAAUGUAGAACAGAUUUCAGCUCACUGUGUUCAGAGAAGGAAUCUGCUAAAUGUGUGAUUCACAAAAAAGCUGUUUAAAAUAAAUCAUUGUGAACAAUG
Haplochromis burtoni (Burton's mouthbrooder) is the source of this 1005-nucleotide long non-coding RNA. RefSeq lists it as uncharacterized. Lineage: Eukaryota; Metazoa; Chordata; Actinopteri; Cichliformes; Cichlidae. The transcript has 2 exons. The record is from RefSeq and is a predicted model, not a curated record.